RNAcentral lists this ribosomal RNA (497 nucleotides) under uncultured bacterium. RNAcentral's name for it is "partial 16S ribosomal RNA". It matches the Rfam family "Bacterial small subunit ribosomal RNA", at positions 36 to 507 of the family's 1533-position model. The record is from RNAcentral.
UCUUCCCUCUUUCCUCGUGCCUCCUCCCUGCACGUCGAGCGCACGGACGAGAAGCUUGCUUCUCUGAUGUUAGCGGCGGACGGGUGAGUAACACGUGGAUAACCUACCUAUAAGACUGGGAUAACUUCGGGAAACCGUAGCUAAUACCGGAUAAUAUUUUGAACCGCAUGGUUCAAAAGUGAAAGACGGUCUUGCUGUCACUUAUAGAUGGAUCCGCGCUGCAUUAGCUAGUUGGUAAGGUAACGGCUUACCAAGGCAACGAUGCAUAGCCGACCUGAGAGGGUGGUCGGCCACACUGGAACUGAGACACGGUCCAGACUCCUACGGGAGGCAGCAGUAGGGAAUCUUCCGCAAUGGGCGAAAGCCUGACGGAGCAACGCCGCGUGAGUGAUGAAGGUCUUCGGACCGUAAAACUCUGUGAUUAGGGAAGAACAUAUGUGUAAGUAACUGUGCACAUCUUGACGGUACCUAAUCAGAAAGCCACGGCUAACUACGUG